Molecule: long non-coding RNA, 343 nt
Filed under: Olea europaea subsp. europaea
Lineage: Eukaryota; Viridiplantae; Streptophyta; Magnoliopsida; Lamiales; Oleaceae
Source: RNAcentral
GUAAAACUUCCGAAGAAAACACUAAUCUUUCACUAGUUUAAACUAGGUAAUAGAAAGGAUGGGGUUACUGGGUUAACUAUAGCACUAUGCCCGAUUACUGAUAUUUUUACCGAUUUUGGGUAUAUAUUCCUUAUUGUUUUGCUUGUUGGAUUAGCAUAAUCAUUCAGUGCAAUCAGAACACUUCUUAUCAAUAGGGUUACAUAAUACAUGUCAUUUUGGUGCUUCAAUAUUGUUAAUAGGAAAAUAGAAGACUAGGCUAUACUUUAGUCUCUGAUUUUGUAACUCGGAAUAUUUUCAUUUCUUGGAUAAGGUGAUAUCUGUUUUGUUAUUUCUUUCUUUAUUG